AACGAACGCUGGCGGCAUGCCUAACACAUGCAAGUCGAACGAGACCUUCGGGUCUAGUGGCGCACGGGUGCGUAACGCGUGGGAACCUGCCCUUAGGUUCGGAAUAACUCCCCGAAAGGGGUGCUAAUACCGGGUAAUGUCUUCGGACCAAAGAUUUAUCGCCUUUGGAUGGGCCCGCGUUGGUUUAGCUAGUUGGUAGGGUAAAAGCCUACCAAGGCGACGAUCCAUAGCUGGUCUGAGAGGAUGAUCAGCCACACUGGGACUGAGACACGGCCCAGACUCCUACGGGAAGCAGCAGUGGGGAAUAUUGGACAAUGGGCGAAAGCCUGAUCCAGCAAUGCCGCGUGAGUGAUGAAGGCCUUAGGGUUGUAAAGCUCUUUUACCCGGGAUGAUAAUGACAGUACCGGGAGAAUAAGCACCGGCUAACUCCGUG
RNAcentral lists this ribosomal RNA (433 nucleotides) under uncultured bacterium. RNAcentral describes it as "partial 16S ribosomal RNA". It matches the Rfam family "Bacterial small subunit ribosomal RNA", at positions 29 to 507 of the family's 1533-position model. The record is from RNAcentral.